This 1155-nucleotide long non-coding RNA is filed under the name Anas platyrhynchos platyrhynchos (common mallard). Its description in RNAcentral is "lncRNA (ENSAPLG00000025222.1)". The record is from RNAcentral. Lineage: Eukaryota; Metazoa; Chordata; Aves; Anseriformes; Anatidae.
GGGCCAGCAGCGGGGGGGGGGGAGGGGACACCGCCCCCGGCGCCGGGUGGCACCGCCGGGAGGGUGACGCGGAGACGGGCACGGGGCCAGGAGGAGGCGGUGGUGGCGGCGGGGACGCUGGGGGAGGGUGCCUACAAGGGGUUUACUCCGGGUGCUACAACGGGUUUACACCUGGUCCUGCAACAGGUUUACACCUUGUGGUACAAUGGGUUUACACCUUGCACUACAAUUAGUUUACACCUGGCACUACAAUGGGUUUACACCUGGUGCUACAACGGGUUUACACCUGGUCCUGCAACAGUUUUACACCUUGUGGUACAAUGGGUUUACACCAGGUGCUACAAUGGGUUUACACCUGGUGCUGCAACAGGUUUACAGCUUGUGGUACAAUGGGUUUACACCUUGUGCUACAAUGGGUUUACACCUUGCACUACAAUUAGUUUACACCUUGCAUUACAAUGGGUUUACACUGGGUGCUGCAACAGGUUUACAGCUUGUGGUACAAUGGGUUUACACCUUGCACUACAAUUAGUUUACACCUGGCACUACAAUGGGUUUACACCUGGUGCUACAACAGGUUUACAGCCUGAGGUACAAUGGGUUUACACCUUGCACUACAGCUGGUUUACACCUUGCACUACAAUGAGUUUACACCUUGCACUACAACUAGUUUGUCUUGCACUACAACUGGUUUACACCUUGUGUUACAGUGGGUUUACACCUUGCACUACAACUAGCUUACACCUUGCACUACAACUAGUUUACAUCUUGCCCUACAACUAGUGAGUGCCUUGCACUACAACUAGUUUACACCUUUCACUACAACUAGUUUACACCUUGCACCACAACUAUCUUGCACUACAACUAGUUUACACCUUGCACUACAACUAGUAUCUUGCACUACAACUAGCUUACACCUUUCACAACUAGUAUCUUGCACUACAACUAGUUUACACCUUGCACUACAAGUAGUGUCUUACACUACUAGUGUUUUCCACUAAUACCUAUGUGUAUCUCGCACUACAACUAGUUUACACCUCACACUACAACUAGUAUCUUGCACUACAACUAGCUUACACCUCACACUACAACUAGUGUCUUACAGUAGUAGCAUUUUUCACUACUACCAGUGUGUAUCUCUCCCUACAACUAGUU